Molecule: ribosomal RNA, 821 nt
Filed under: uncultured Campylobacter sp.
Lineage: Bacteria; Pseudomonadati; Campylobacterota; Epsilonproteobacteria; Campylobacterales; Campylobacteraceae
Description: bacterial SSU rRNA
Rfam family: Bacterial small subunit ribosomal RNA
Source: RNAcentral
GGGCGCGUAGGCGGAUUAUCAAGUCUCUUGUGAAAUCCAACGGCUUAACCGUUGAACUGCUUGGGAAACUGGUAAUCUAGAGUGGGGGAGAGGCAGAUGGAAUUGGUGGUGUAGGGGUAAAAUCCGUAGAUAUCACCAAGAAUACCCAUUGCGAAGGCGAUCUGCUGGAACUUAACUGACGCUAAGGCGCGAAAGCGUGGGGAGCAAACAGGAUUAGAUACCCUGGUAGUCCACGCCCUAAACGAUGUAUGCUAGUUGUUGGGGUGCUAGUCAUCUCAGUAAUGCAGCUAACGCAUUAAGCAUACCGCCUGGGGAGUACGGUCGCAAGAUUAAAACUCAAAGGAAUAGACGGGGACCCGCACAAGCGGUGGAGCAUGUGGUUUAAUUCGAAGAUACGCGAAGAACCUUACCUGGGCUUGAUAUCCUAAGAACCUUAUAGAGAUAUGAGGGUGCUAGCUUGCUAGAACUUAGAGACAGGUGCUGCACGGCUGUCGUCAGCUCGUGUCGUGAGAUGUUGGGUUAAGUCCCGCAACGAGCGCAACCCACGUAUUUAGUUGCUAACACUUCGGGUGAGCACUCUAAAUAGACUGCCUUCGUAAGGAGGAGGAAGGUGUGGACGACGUCAAGUCAUCAUGGCCCUUAUGCCCAGGGCGACACACGUGCUACAAUGGCAUAUACAAUGAGACGCAAUACCGCGAGGUGGAGCAAAUCUAUAAAAUAUGUCCCAGUUCGGAUUGUUCUCUGCAACUCGAGAGCAUGAAGCCGGAAUCGCUAGUAAUCGUAGAUCAGCCAUGCUACGGUGAAUACGUUCCCGGGUCUUG